This 227-nucleotide ribosomal RNA is filed under the name uncultured Mycobacterium sp. RNAcentral's name for it is "partial 16S ribosomal RNA". It matches the Rfam family "Bacterial small subunit ribosomal RNA", at positions 126 to 355 of the family's 1533-position model. The record is from RNAcentral. Lineage: Bacteria; Bacillati; Actinomycetota; Actinomycetes; Mycobacteriales; Mycobacteriaceae.
CUGCCCUGCACUCUGGGAUAAGCCUGGGAAACUGGGUCUAAUACUGGAUAGGACCUUUCUCCUCAUGGGGUUUGGUGGAAAGUUUUCGGUGCAGGAUGAGCCCGCGGCCUAUCAGCUUGUUGGUGGGGUAAUGGCCUACCAAGGCGACGACGGGUAGCCGGCCUGAGAGGGUGAUCGGCCACAUUGGGACUGAGAUACGGCCCAGACUCCUACGGGAGGCAGCAGCC